AGUGCACUAGAUCUUGUAGCACUUAGCAACGAAGCCCUAUCCAUUAGUAUUCCACAUAAGAAAUCCAUUCUAGAAAAAAAUACAAUUAGAUUAGCUCUUCAUAGACAAACUUGGGGUUUGCGAGCCAAGGUAAGAUCGGCUCGGGAUCAUGGGACCCUUUUCUAUCAGAUAGGAGGGGCUCUUGUACAAAAUAGAUUACUAAGUAAUAACCCCAUAGAUCCAAAUCUAAAAUGCAAAGGUUGUCUUAUUCAAAACCUCAAUCAUCAUAUCCCCUCUCUCCCACUUCACACAUCGGAACGCACUGUUCUUAUAGAGAUAAAGGCGCUUUCCCAUCUUCUUAACCUAACGGGCAUUGUUUAUCUUGAAAAACAAAUAUUUCUCGACGUAAGAAAAAAAUCUUUUUUAUUUUUAAUUUAA
This 417-nucleotide ribosomal RNA is filed under the name Triticum aestivum (bread wheat). RNAcentral's name for it is "partial small subunit ribosomal RNA". The record is from RNAcentral. Lineage: Eukaryota; Viridiplantae; Streptophyta; Magnoliopsida; Poales; Poaceae.